Molecule: ribosomal RNA, 270 nt
Filed under: uncultured Staphylococcus sp.
Lineage: Bacteria; Bacillati; Bacillota; Bacilli; Caryophanales; Staphylococcaceae
Description: partial 16S ribosomal RNA
Rfam family: Bacterial small subunit ribosomal RNA
Source: RNAcentral
GUGCCAGCAGCCGCGGUAAUACGUAGGUGGCAAGCGUUAUCCGGAAUUGUUGGGCGUAAAGCGCGCGUAGGCGGUUUUUUAAGUCUGAUGUGAAAGCCCACGGCUCAACCGUGGAGGGUCAUUGGAAACUGGAAAACUUGAGUGCAGAAGAGGAAAGUGGAAUUCCAUGUGUAGCGGUGAAAUGCGCAGAGACAUGGAGGAACACCAGUGGCGAAGGCGACUUUCUGGUCUGUAACUGACGCUGAUGUGCGAAAGCGUGGGGAUCAAACA